AACCCUCUGGGGUGCCACCUUGCAGUUUGGCCGGUGGAGCAGCAGGGGUGGAGGUGUCAUUGGUUGAAAGGGCCUUCAUGCCUUUCUCCAGCUCUUCUGUCGUCUGCUUUUCCUCCUCACCGCCGUUCUGUAUGGCUGUGAGACCAGACCAAAGCACCAGAAGUGUGCCCUAUGAAUCAGUGUGGAGUAACACGGAAAAGGACAGACAGACAGACACAGAGGGAGAGAGUACAACAGAACCACACCAUUCGGGACUGGAACCCGCAUCCUCAGGCAUGGGAGGCCAAAACCCAGAGAGUCGUAGCAUCUGUCGCUACACAGGUACACAGUGCACACACAGUGUUGUGUCAAUUUACAGAGCCAGGGCUGGGUAGAAAAAUCUGUUUUGUGGU
Molecule: long non-coding RNA, 392 nt
Organism: Scophthalmus maximus (turbot)
Lineage: Eukaryota; Metazoa; Chordata; Actinopteri; Pleuronectiformes; Scophthalmidae
Exons: 3
Source: RefSeq, a predicted model, not a curated record